This 92-nucleotide transfer RNA is filed under the name Propionivibrio dicarboxylicus. Its description in RNAcentral is "Selenocysteine transfer RNA". It matches the Rfam family "Selenocysteine transfer RNA". The record is from Rfam by way of RNAcentral. Lineage: Bacteria; Pseudomonadati; Pseudomonadota; Betaproteobacteria; Rhodocyclales; Rhodocyclaceae.
GGAAGAGAUCGUUCCCCGGUGGGGCGGCCGGACUUCAAAACCGGUAGGGCCCGUUAAACGGGCCCGGGUAGGUUCGACUCCUGCUCUCUUCC